RNAcentral lists this ribosomal RNA (288 nucleotides) under uncultured bacterium. RNAcentral describes it as "partial 16S ribosomal RNA". It matches the Rfam family "Bacterial small subunit ribosomal RNA", at positions 1082 to 1382 of the family's 1533-position model. The record is from RNAcentral.
UAGUCCGCACGAGCGCACCCUUAUUUUUAGUUGCCUUAUGGAACUCUAGAAAGACUGCCGGUUAUAAACCGGAGGAAGGCGGGGAUGACGUCAAGUCAGCAUGCCCCUUACACCCUGGGCUACACACGUGCUACAAUGGGCGAGACAAUGAGAUGCAAGUCUGCGAAGAUUAGCUAAUCUAUAAACUCGUUCUAAGUUCGGAUUGUAGGCUGCAACUCGCCUGCAUGAAGUUGGAAUCGCUAGUAAUCGCUGGUCAGCUAUACAGCGGUGAAUUCGUUCCCGGGCCUU